GACGAACGCUGGCGGCGUGCUUAACACAUGCAAGUCGAGCGGUAAGGCCCUUUCGGGGGUACACGAGCGGCGAACGGGUGAGUAACACGUGGGUGACCUGCCCUCAGCUCUGGGAUAAGCCUGGGAAACCGGGUCUAAUACUGGAUAUGACUCCAUGACGCAUGUUGUGGGGUGGAAAGCCUUGUGCGGCUGAGGAUGGGCCCGCGGCCUAUCAGCUUGUUGGUGGGGUGANGGCCUACCAAGGCGACGACGGGUAGCCGGCCUGAGAGGGCGACCGGCCACACUGGGGACUGAGACACGGCCCAGACUCCUACGGGAGGCAGCAGUGGGGAAUCUUGCGCAAUGGGCGAAAGCCUGACGCAGCGACGCCGCGUGAGGGAU
This 381-nucleotide ribosomal RNA is filed under the name uncultured bacterium. Its description in RNAcentral is "bacterial SSU rRNA". It matches the Rfam family "Bacterial small subunit ribosomal RNA", at positions 28 to 409 of the family's 1533-position model. The record is from RNAcentral.